GCCGGAGUGGUGGAACUGGUAGACGCGCUGGACUCAAAAUCCAGUGGGCUUUUCGCCCGUGCGAGUUCGACUCUCGCCUCCGGCACCA
RNAcentral lists this transfer RNA (88 nucleotides) under Thermodesulfobacteriota bacterium. Its description in RNAcentral is "tRNA-Leu". It matches the Rfam family "tRNA". Rfam says of the family: Transfer RNA (tRNA) molecules are approximately 80 nucleotides in length. The record is from RNAcentral. Lineage: Bacteria; Pseudomonadati; Thermodesulfobacteriota.